This 402-nucleotide ribosomal RNA is filed under the name uncultured bacterium. Its description in RNAcentral is "bacterial SSU rRNA". It matches the Rfam family "Bacterial small subunit ribosomal RNA", at positions 355 to 774 of the family's 1533-position model. The record is from RNAcentral.
UGGGGAAUCUUGCACAAUGGGGGCAACCCUGAUGCAGCGACGCCGCGUGAGCGAUGAAGCCCUUCGGGGCGUAAAGCUCUUUCGACCGGAACGAUAAUGACGGUACCGGGAGAAGAAGCUGCGGCUAACUACGUGCCAGCAGCCGCGGUAAUACGUAGGCAGCAAGCGUUGUUCGGAGUUACUGGGCGUAAAGAGUGCGUAGGCGGUUUUCUAAGUUUGGUGUGAAAUCUCCCGGCUUAACUGGGAGGGUGCGCCGAAGACUGGGAGGCUGGAGUGUGGGAAAGGCAGGCGGAAUUCCUGGUGUAGCGGUGAAAUGCGUAGAUAUCAGGAGGAACACCGGCGGUGUAGACGGCUUGCUAGACCAUAACUGACGCUGAGGCACGAAAGCGUGGGUAGCAAACA